UGGGGAAUUUUGCACAAUGGGGGAAACCCUGAUGCAGCGACGCCGCGUGAUUUAGAAGGCCUUCGGGUUGUAAAAAUCUUUUCUAUGGGAAGAAAAUGACAGUACCAUAGGAAUAAGGACCGGCUAAUUACGUGCCAGCAGCCGCGGUAAUACGUAGGUCCCGAGCGUUGUCCGGAUUUAUUGGGCGUAAAGCGAGCGCAGGCGGUUAGAAAAGUCUGAAGUGAAAGGCAGUGGCUCAACCAUUGUAGGCUUUGGAAACUGUUUAACUUGAGUGCAGAAGGGGAGAGUGGAAUUCCAUGUGUAGCGGUGAGAUGCGUAGAUAUAUGGAGGAACACCGGUGGCGAAAGCGGCUCUCUGGUCUGUAACUGACGCUGAGGCUCGAAAGCGUGGGGAGCGAACAGG
Molecule: ribosomal RNA, 402 nt
Filed under: Verrucomicrobiota bacterium
Lineage: Bacteria; Pseudomonadati; Verrucomicrobiota
Description: Verrucomicrobia bacterium partial 16S ribosomal RNA
Rfam family: Bacterial small subunit ribosomal RNA
Source: RNAcentral